GGGCGCUGGCGGCGGGUCGAGGCGAUGCGUGCGGAGCGGGGAGCUAUGGCGGCCGCGCAGUGGGAAAUCCGUGCCGUGGCGGGGGGCUACGAGGACAGCGACAGCGACGAGGACGGCUGGGAUAUCGGUGUAGUGCGGCAGGAGCCACUGCAGUUGGAUCAAAUGUUGCAGGCGGACAAGAAUGAAGCAUUAAGGAAGGCUCUGUUUCAUGGUGAUGUGUCAUUAAUUGAAGAACUCUUAAAUUCCGGUGUAAACAUAGAAUCUAGGAUUCAGUUUGAUUGGACUCCCCUGAUGUGUGCUGCCAGUAUGGCUGACUCUGCGGUAGUGCGUUUUCUUCUGGACAGAGGUGCUAAUGCAUGUUUUGAAAUAGAUAAGUACACUGUGCUGAUGGCAGCGUGCACCGCACAUACUUCAGAGGAAAAAGUCUUGAAGACUGUGGAAGUGCUGCUGACAAGGAAUGCUGACCCUAACCUUACUUGCAGGAGACAAAUGACUCCCCUGAUGUAUGCAGCUCGAAAAGGCUAUCCUCAGGUUGUUGCUCUUCUUGUCGCUCAUGGAGCACACAUAAAUGCCCAAGAUGACAAUGGAUAUUCGGCAUUGAUAUGGGCAGCACAGCAUGGACAUAAAAAUGUAACUCUUAAGUUGCUUGAGCUGGGGGCUGACAAAAAUCUACGGACUAAGUGUGAGAAAACAGCAGCAGAGAUAGCAAAAAUCAAUAAACAUUCAGAGAUUUAUAGUUUACUGUCUUUGGCUGCAAACUACUUGCAAGGGAGAUCCCAUGAAACAAUUAAGGAGGAGGCUAUCUACAAAUAUGUAACAGCUGCCCCUGACCAAGGAAUUAGUUCCUAUUCAACUUUCAAUGACACGGAAGUGUUUUUACAAGGUCUUGGUCUAGAACACAUAAUAGGAUUAUUCAGGGAAAGAGAUACAACUUUAACACAACUUCUGAUCAUGCAAAAAGAUGAGUUAAUACAGAUUGGCCUUACAAAUCCUGAAGAUCAGGAGAAACUCCUAGAUGCCAUUAACAAGCUAAAAGUGGGAGAAGCAAGAAUGGGAGAUGUCUCUGAAGUGAUGAAGCUGGAAUUGAGUGGAGAUGAGUUCCUCGAGUUUCUGAAGAAGUUGAAUGAGGAGUGCAUUAAGCUGACCGUUCCUGUGCAGACCGUGAAUAAGCGUUUUCUCAGUCGUUCCCACCAGAUGGUGCUGCAGUGGACACCAACUGCAAAUUAUAUUGAAGUCUGCAAAGACUUGGUUUGCAGUGUUGAAAAGCUGGGAGAAGAAGCUGCCAAACUGCAGGACCUGAUGGAGAAGGUGGGUAUGGGCAGCAUGAACAGAGGAAUGACCCCAGACAAGUGAAACUUCCAGAAAAAGCACCCAUGUUGGAAAAAAGAUUAGUGAAAAUGGGAGGGAUAACAUUGCUUGGAUUUGUUUUUUUCUUAUUUAUAACCAAGGGGUGUGUGGAGUCUUAAUCUUUGAUGUUCCCUCCAGAGACUAGUAAGGAGAAGAUAAAAACUCGAGUGCUACUCCAGUUGCUGCCACAGUUGUUCUCUGCUUUUUGUUUUAGAAAGCUACAUUGGGUGUUGGUGUGUUUCCUUGUUACUGCAGUUGUUUUACCUCCUUUCCUCACAGGUUUCUCCUUCAAUGCAGGGAACAUCCUAUAGAGUGAUGAGGCCAGAGGCAAAUACAACAAAGACUGGGUUGUCACGCAUUCUGUUCCCAACCCUGGGU
RNA transcript from Neopsephotus bourkii (Bourke's parrot), 1725 nucleotides. It is a transcript of the gene named ankyrin repeat, SAM and basic leucine zipper domain containing 1, with no coding region annotated. The record is from RefSeq and is a predicted model, not a curated record. Lineage: Eukaryota; Metazoa; Chordata; Aves; Psittaciformes; Psittacidae. The transcript is spliced from 14 exons.